GACGAACGCUGGCGGCGUGCUUAACACAUGCAAGUCGAACGGAAAGGCCCUGCUUUUGUGGGGUGCUCGAGUGGCGAGCGGGUGAGUAACACGUGAGUAACCUGCCCUUGACUUUGGGAUAACUUCAGGAAACUGGGGCUCAUACCGGAUAGGAGCUCCUGCUGCAUGGUGGGGGUUGGAAAGUUUCGGCGGUUGGGGAUGGACUCGCGGCUUAUCAGCUUGUUGGUGGGGUAGUGGCUUACCAAGGCUUUGACGGGUAGCCGGCCUGAGAGGGUGACCGGCCACAUUGGGACUGAGAUACGGCCCAGACUCCUACGGGAGGCAGCAGGGGGGAAUAUUGCACAAUGGGCGGAAGCCUGAUGCAGCAACGCCGCGUGCGGGAUGACGGCCUUCGGGUUGUAAACCGCUUUCGCCUGUGACGAAGCGUGAGUGACGGUAAUGGGUAAAGAAGCACCGGCUAACUACGUG
Molecule: ribosomal RNA, 468 nt
Filed under: uncultured bacterium
Lineage: Bacteria
Description: partial 16S ribosomal RNA
Rfam family: Bacterial small subunit ribosomal RNA
Source: RNAcentral